UACAGGGGGGGCAAGCGUUGUUCGGAAUUACUGGGCGUAAAGGGUCUGUAGGUGGCCAACUAAGUCAGACGUGAAAUCCCUCAGCUUAACUGGGGAACUGCGUCUGAUACUGGAUGGCUUGAGUGCAGGAGAGGAAUGCGGAAUUCCAGGUGUAGCGGUGAAAUGCGUAGAUAUCUGGAGGAACACCGGUGGUGUAAACGGCUUUCUGGACCAUAACUGACGCUGAGGCACGAAAGCGUGGGUAGCAAACAGG
Molecule: ribosomal RNA, 253 nt
Filed under: uncultured bacterium
Lineage: Bacteria
Description: partial 16S ribosomal RNA
Rfam family: Bacterial small subunit ribosomal RNA
Source: RNAcentral